GGAAGUUGCAGCGAGCUGAGAUUGUGCCACUGCACUCCAGCCUGGGCCACAGAGUGAGACUCUCUCUCUUUCUCUCUCUCUCUCUCCCCCCAACCCCCCCCCUCUAUAUAUAUAUGUAUGUGUAUGUAUAUUUUGAUGAGCUCAUUAAAUACAUUCACAAUUGUCCCAUAAGAUAGGGAUUAAUAACACUUUUAUAGAAAAGAAAGGAGUUCAUGGAAAAGAAUCUGAUUGUUUCUCUGUUUUGCUGUCACUUUGUGUUUUGCGGAGUUAAUCCAAAGAGUUGCUUCAACAAGCAGAACUCAAGGAAACACGGGUGAGGUUACUUUCAGGCUUGGAGACUUCUGAGCUAAAGGAAGUGGGCCAGGGAAGGGCUAGGUGCUCUGACAUUCCAAAUAUAGUCUGCUUGGCCACUGAGGAACAGAGAUUUGUUGCUAGCAACAAGUACUUAGAACGUGUGUGAUUUGGCAUGUCUCGAACUGUGAAGUAGAUGCAAUGCAGGCAGAAAAUCGAUGAUGCUAUGGGGAGGGGCUGUGUAGGGUGUUAAUCGCCAUCUGCAGUGCCUGGAGGUGGGGUGGGGAGAAGUGAAGAAUCUCUUCCUUUUUAAUAGAUUUUCAAGAUGGGAAAAUCAUAUUGCAACCCACAGGCAUUUGGAAACAAUUUGUGCCGAAGACAGAAAGUACACCUAACGUUAAGCUGAAAAAACUGGACGCUCCCAGCAAACUCACUUUGCAGACUCCUGGUUGUCAGAAGAAAACGCCAGAGGAUUUCACUUGGCAUUGACCUCUUACUACUUCCAGCCACUUACCCUGGGCAGUAGAAAGAAGGAACAGAAAGCAGAGUAGAUUAAGAGGAGCAAGUACAAAUGGCGUGGGACUUCAAAUCACCACCUAAGAUUACUUCUUUGAUUUCUGAAAAAGUAGGUCAAAGGAAGAUGUCAGUUCCAGAGGAAAGAAUGCUUCCACAGGGAGACAUAGCAAUGCUUCCACUGAACUGGAAGUCAAGACUGCCAUGCAGCCAUUUUGGACUCCGUAUUCCUCUGAAUCAACAGGCAAAGAAAGGAGUUACUGUGCUGGUUAGGGUGACUGAAUCUGACUACCAAGGGGAAAUUGGACUACUACUCCACAACAG
Molecule: long non-coding RNA, 1128 nt
Filed under: Homo sapiens (human)
Lineage: Eukaryota; Metazoa; Chordata; Mammalia; Primates; Hominidae
Description: HSALNT0101733
Source: RNAcentral